RNAcentral lists this small RNA (560 nucleotides) under Pongo abelii (Sumatran orangutan). RNAcentral describes it as "retained intron". Lineage: Eukaryota; Metazoa; Chordata; Mammalia; Primates; Hominidae. The record is from RNAcentral.
UUAGUCAACAUUUAAUCACAAAUGCAAGCCAGUAAGAUGAAAAUUAAUUUACAGUUGAAUACCUUAUGUCAGGAGACAACUGGCCUGAUUGCAGUUGUUUGAAAGUGCACAUAUUCUAAGCACAUUGCAUGCUGCUUUUUCUUGUCUAUAGAUAUUGAUGAGUGUGGGACCGGGAGGCACAGCUGUGCCAAUGAUACCAUUUGCUUCAAUUUGGAUGGCGGAUAUGAUUGUCGAUGUCCUCAUGGAAAGAAUUGCACAGGGGACUGCAUCCAUGAUGGAAAAGUUAAGCACAAUGGUCAGAUUUGGGUGUUGGAAAAUGACAGGUGCUCUGUGUGCUCAUGUCAGAAUGGAUUCGUUAUGUGUCGACGGAUGGUCUGUGACUGUGAGAAUCCCACAGUUGAUCUUUUUUGCUGCCCUGAAUGUGACCCAAGGCUUAGUAGUCAGUGCCUCCAUCAAAAUGGGGAAACUUUGUACAACAGUGGUGACACCUGGGUCCAGAAUUGUCAACAGUGCCGCUGCUUGGUAAAUUUAGCUACAUGAAGUGGAAAGAAAAUGUAGGC